GACGAACGCUGGCGGCGUGCUUAACACAUGCAAGUCGAACGGAAAGGCCCUGCUUUUGUGGGGUGCUCGAGUGGCGAACGGGUGAGUAACACGUGAGUAACCUGCCCUUGACUUUGGGAUAACUUCAGGAAACUUGGGCUAAUACCGGAUAGGAGCUCCUGCUGCAUGGUGGGGGUUGGAAAGUUUCGGCGGUUGGGGAUGGACUCGCGGCUUAUCAGCUUGUUGGUGGGGUAGUGGCUUACCAAGGCUUUGACGGGUAGCCGGCCUGAGAGGGUGACCGGCCACAUUGGGACUGAGAUACGGCCCAGACUCCUACGGGAGGCAGCAGUGGGGAAUAUUGCACAAUGGGCGGAAGACUGAUGCAGCAAAGCCGCGUGCGGGAUGACGGCCUUCGGGUUGUAAACCGCUUUCGCCUGUGACGAAGCGUGAGUGACGGUAAUGGGUAAAGAAGCACCGGCUAACUACGUG
This 468-nucleotide ribosomal RNA is filed under the name uncultured bacterium. Its description in RNAcentral is "partial 16S ribosomal RNA". It matches the Rfam family "Bacterial small subunit ribosomal RNA", at positions 28 to 507 of the family's 1533-position model. The record is from RNAcentral.